Molecule: ribosomal RNA, 732 nt
Filed under: uncultured Bacteroidota bacterium
Lineage: Bacteria; Pseudomonadati; Bacteroidota
Description: bacterial SSU rRNA
Rfam family: Bacterial small subunit ribosomal RNA
Source: RNAcentral
UGUUCUUGAGUAUAGUUGAGGUGGGCGGAAUGUGUCGUGUAGCGGUGAAAUGCUUAGAUAUGACACAGAACACCGAUUGCGUAGGCAGCUCACUAAACUAUAACUGACGCUGAGGCACGAAAGCGUGGGUAGCGAACAGGAUUAGAUACCCUGGUAGUCCACGCUGUAAACUAUGAUUACUCGUUGUGUGCAAUAUAUCGUACGCGACUAAGCGAAAGCAUUAAGUAAUCCACCUGGGGAGUACGUCGGCAACGAUGAAACUCAAAGGAAUUGACGGGGGCCCGCACAAGCGGAGGAACAUGUGGUUUAAUUCGAUGAUACGCGAGGAACCUUACCUGGGCUUAAAUGCAGAAUGACAUUUUGAGAAAUUGAAAUUCCCUUCGGGGCAAUUUGCAAGGUGCUGCAUGGUUGUCGUCAGCUCGUGCCGUGAGGUGUCGGGUUAAGUCCCAUAACGAGCGCAACCCUCAUUGUUAGUUGCCAGCGGGUCAUGCCGGGGACUCUAACAAAACUGCCGGUGUAAACCGAGAGGAAGGUGAGGAUGACGUCAAAUCAGCACGGCCCUUAUGUCCAGGGCUACACACGUGUUACAAUGGUCGAUACAAAGGGCUGCUACUUGGUAACAAGAUGCAAAUCUUAAAAGUCGAUCUCAGUUCGGAUCGAAGUCUGCAACUCGACUUCGUGAAGUUGGAUUCGCUAGUAAUCGUAUAUCAGCAAUGAUACGGUGAAUACGUU